RNAcentral lists this ribosomal RNA (2923 nucleotides) under Klebsiella quasivariicola. Its description in RNAcentral is "bacterial LSU rRNA". It matches the Rfam family "Bacterial large subunit ribosomal RNA". The record is from RNAcentral. Lineage: Bacteria; Pseudomonadati; Pseudomonadota; Gammaproteobacteria; Enterobacterales; Enterobacteriaceae.
GGGUUGUGAGGUUAAGCGACUAAGCGUACACGGUGGAUGCCCUGGCAGUCAGAGGCGAUGAAGGACGUGCUAAUCUGCGAAAAGCGUCGGUAAGGUGAUAUGAACCGUUACAGCCGGCGAUGUCCGAAUGGGGAAACCCAGUGUGAUUCGUCACACUAUCGUUAACUGAAUACAUAGGUUAACGAGGCGAACCGGGGGAACUGAAACAUCUAAGUACCCCGAGGAAAAGAAAUCAACCGAGAUUCCCCCAGUAGCGGCGAGCGAACGGGGAGCAGCCCAGAGUCUGAAUCAGCUUGUGUGUUAGUGGAACGGUCUGGAAAGUCCGACGGUACAGGGUGAUAGUCCCGUACACCAAAAUGCACAGGCUGUGAACUCGAAGAGUAGGGCGGGACACGUGGUAUCCUGUCUGAAUAUGGGGGGACCAUCCUCCAAGGCUAAAUACUCCUGACUGACCGAUAGUGAACCAGUACCGUGAGGGAAAGGCGAAAAGAACCCCGGCGAGGGGAGUGAAAAAGAACCUGAAACCGUGUACGUACAAGCAGUGGGAGCACCUUCGGGUGUGACUGCGUACCUUUUGUAUAAUGGGUCAGCGACUUAUAUUCUGUAGCAAGGUUAACCGUAUAGGGGAGCCGCAGGGAAACCGAGUCUUAACUGGGCGUUAAGUUGCAGGGUAUAGACCCGAAACCCGGUGAUCUAGCCAUGGGCAGGUUGAAGGUUGGGUAACACUAACUGGAGGACCGAACCGACUAAUGUUGAAAAAUUAGCGGAUGACUUGUGGCUGGGGGUGAAAGGCCAAUCAAACCGGGAGAUAGCUGGUUCUCCCCGAAAGCUAUUUAGGUAGCGCCUCGUGAACUCAUCUUCGGGGGUAGAGCACUGUUUCGGCUAGGGGGUCAUCCCGACUUACCAACCCGAUGCAAACUACGAAUACCGAAGAAUGUUAUCACGGGAGACACACGGCGGGUGCUAACGUCCGUCGUGAAGAGGGAAACAACCCAGACCGCCAGCUAAGGUCCCAAAGUCAUGGUUAAGUGGGAAACGAUGUGGGAAGGCCCAGACAGCCAGGAUGUUGGCUUAGAAGCAGCCAUCAUUUAAAGAAAGCGUAAUAGCUCACUGGUCGAGUCGGCCUGCGCGGAAGAUGUAACGGGGCUAAACCAUGCACCGAAGCUGCGGCAGCGACACUAUGUGUUGUUGGGUAGGGGAGCGUUCUGUAAGCCUGUGAAGGUGUGCUGUGAGGCAUGCUGGAGGUAUCAGAAGUGCGAAUGCUGACAUAAGUAACGAUAAAGCGGGUGAAAAGCCCGCUCGCCGGAAGACCAAGGGUUCCUGUCCAACGUUAAUCGGGGCAGGGUGAGUCGACCCCUAAGGCGAGGCCGAAAGGCGUAGUCGAUGGGAAACAGGUUAAUAUUCCUGUACUUGGUGUUACUGCGAAGGGGGGACGGAGAAGGCUAUGUCAUCCGGGCGACGGUUGUCCCGGUUUAAGCAUGUAGGCUGGUUAUCCAGGCAAAUCCGGAUAAUCAAGGCUGAGGUGUGAUGACGAGGUACCACGGUACUGAAGUGACAGAUGCCCUGCUUCCAGGAAAAGCCUCUAAGCAUCAGGUAACAUCAAAUCGUACCCCAAACCGACACAGGUGGUCAGGUAGAGAAUACCAAGGCGCUUGAGAGAACUCGGGUGAAGGAACUAGGCAAAAUGGUGCCGUAACUUCGGGAGAAGGCACGCUGGUGUGUAGGUGAAGUCCCUGCGGACGGAGCUGAGACCAGUCGAAGAUACCAGCUGGCUGCAACUGUUUAUUAAAAACACAGCACUGUGCAAACACGAAAGUGGACGUAUACGGUGUGACGCCUGCCCGGUGCCGGAAGGUUAAUUGAUGGGGUUAUCCGUAAGGAGAAGCUCUUGAUCGAAGCCCCGGUAAACGGCGGCCGUAACUAUAACGGUCCUAAGGUAGCGAAAUUCCUUGUCGGGUAAGUUCCGACCUGCACGAAUGGCGUAAUGAUGGCCAGGCUGUCUCCACCCGAGACUCAGUGAAAUUGAACUCGCUGUGAAGAUGCAGUGUACCCGCGGCAAGACGGAAAGACCCCGUGAACCUUUACUAUAGCUUGACACUGAACAUUGAGCCUUGAUGUGUAGGAUAGGUGGGAGGCUUUGAAGCGUGGACGCCAGUCUGCGUGGAGCCAACCUUGAAAUACCACCCUUUAAUGUUUGAUGUUCUAACGUUGGCCCCUUAUCGGGGUUGCGGACAGUGUCUGGUGGGUAGUUUGACUGGGGCGGUCUCCUCCCAAAGCGUAACGGAGGAGCACGAAGGUUAGCUAAUCCUGGUCGGACAUCAGGAGGUUAGUGCAAUGGCAUAAGCUAGCUUGACUGCGAGCGUGACGGCGCGAGCAGGUGCGAAAGCAGGUCAUAGUGAUCCGGUGGUUCUGAAUGGAAGGGCCAUCGCUCAACGGAUAAAAGGUACUCCGGGGAUAACAGGCUGAUACCGCCCAAGAGUUCAUAUCGACGGCGGUGUUUGGCACCUCGAUGUCGGCUCAUCACAUCCUGGGGCUGAAGUAGGUCCCAAGGGUAUGGCUGUUCGCCAUUUAAAGUGGUACGCGAGCUGGGUUUAGAACGUCGUGAGACAGUUCGGUCCCUAUCUGCCGUGGGCGCUGGAGAAUUGAGGGGGGCUGCUCCUAGUACGAGAGGACCGGAGUGGACGCAUCACUGGUGUUCGGGUUGUCAUGCCAAUGGCACUGCCCGGUAGCUAAAUGCGGAAGAGAUAAGUGCUGAAAGCAUCUAAGCACGAAACUUGCCCCGAGAUGAGUUCUCCCUGAGACUAUAAGUCUCCUGAAGGAACGUUGAAGACGACGACGUUGAUAGGCCGGGUGUGUAAGCGCAGCGAUGCGUUGAGCUAACCGGUACUAAUGAACCGUGAGGCUUAACCUUACAACGCCGAAG